GCAUGGUGGCGACAGCAGCCGUGGUGGGUUUAUAACGGCGUGGUGGGUUUGUAACGGCCGCAGAACUGAUUCGUUCACAUGCACCCUUCUAGCACCCCUGGAUUCCUUAUCAACAUUUUUCUUUUUACCAACGUUAUUAAUUUAAAAUUUAACUUUUUUAAUUAAAUAAUUUAAUACAUUAUCGAGGACUAACUACGGUCCUGCUAAUCUGAUCUGAAACUGUGGCAUCUGGCCUGCCGUACAAGUAUUAAUAGGAGCUACUGGCUGGGUGGCCUCAUAUGAGGCCCGUCAUGUUGCACACCGGGCUGCACUACAGUUUUGAGUACGACUGUGUACGACACCGCGUCACGUCAAGUUCUUUUUCCCGUUCGGACUACAUUAACAGUAACGGUUCUAUACAUCGAACAGAGUGAGAGUGGACGAGCGUUUCAAUUCUCAUGUCUCACGCUGUGGAGUGCUAGUCACGAGGAAUGUUAGCAUCCGACUAUAUGACUCCUUCUUUUUGUGCUUUUCGUUACCGUCUUUACAUUCUU
Molecule: long non-coding RNA, 533 nt
Filed under: Volvox carteri
Lineage: Eukaryota; Viridiplantae; Chlorophyta; Chlorophyceae; Chlamydomonadales; Volvocaceae
Description: long non-coding RNA (VCAR_LNC002304)
Source: RNAcentral